UACAGAGGGGGCAAGCGUUGUUCGGAAUUACUGGGCGUAAAGCGUGCGUAGGUGGUUCGUUAAGUCUGAUGUGAAAGCCCUGGGCUCAACCUGGGAAUGUCAUUGGAUACUGGCGAUCUAGAGUGCGGUAGAGGGCAGUGGAAUUCCCGGUGUAGCAGUGAAAUGCGUAGAGAUCGGGAGGAACAUCUGUGGCGAAGGCGACUGCCUGGACCAGCACUGACACUGAGGCACGAAAGCGUGGGGAGCAAACAGG
This 253-nucleotide ribosomal RNA is filed under the name uncultured bacterium. RNAcentral's name for it is "partial 16S ribosomal RNA". It matches the Rfam family "Bacterial small subunit ribosomal RNA", at positions 524 to 776 of the family's 1533-position model. The record is from RNAcentral.